RNAcentral lists this ribosomal RNA (612 nucleotides) under uncultured bacterium. Its description in RNAcentral is "bacterial SSU rRNA". It matches the Rfam family "Bacterial small subunit ribosomal RNA", at positions 338 to 944 of the family's 1533-position model. The record is from RNAcentral.
CCUACGGGAGGCAGCAGUAAGGAAUAUUGGUCAAUGGAGGCAACUCUGAACCAGCCAUGCCGCGUGCAGGAUGAAGGCCCUAUGGGUCGUAAACUGCUUUUACACAAGAGAAAACCCCGGUACGUGUACCGGGUUGAUAGUAUUGUGAGAAUAAGCAUCGGCUAACUUCGUGCCAGCAGCCGCGGUAAGACGAAGGAUGCAAGCGUUAUCCGGAUUCAUUGGGUUUAAAGGGUGCGUAGGCGGACUUGUAAGUCAGUGGUGAAAUCUCUUUGCUUAACAAAGAAACUGCCAUUGAUACUGCAGGUCUAGAGUAUAGAUGACGUUGGCGGAAUAUGACAUGUAGUGGUGAAAUACUUAGAUAUGUCAUAGAACACCGAUUGCGAAGGCAGCUAACGAAACUAUAACUGACGCUGAGGCACGAAAGUGCGGGGAUCAAACAGGAUUAGAUACCCUGGUAGUCCGCACCGUAAACGAUGAUUACUCGUUGUUGGCAAUAUGACCGUCAGCGACCAAGCGAAAGCGAUAAGUAAUCCAACCUGGGGAGUUACGCGCGAACGGUUGAACGUUCAANAGAGUUAGAGNGNGAGAGNGCGAGCGACGACGAGGAGGAGG